GCCGGGGUGGCGGAAUAGGCAGACGCACAGGACUUAAAAUCCUGCGGAGAGUGAUCUCCGUACCGGUUCGACCCCGGUCCUCGGCA
Molecule: transfer RNA, 86 nt
Filed under: Lapidilactobacillus dextrinicus
Lineage: Bacteria; Bacillati; Bacillota; Bacilli; Lactobacillales; Lactobacillaceae
Also listed under: 1 other name
Description: tRNA-Leu
Rfam family: tRNA
About the family: Transfer RNA (tRNA) molecules are approximately 80 nucleotides in length. Their secondary structure includes four short double-helical elements and three loops (D, anti-codon, and T loops). Further hydrogen bonds mediate the characteristic L-shaped molecular structure. tRNAs have two regions of fundamental functional importance: the anti-codon, which is responsible for specific mRNA codon recognition, and the 3' end, to which the tRNAs corresponding amino acid is attached (by aminoacyl-tRNA synthetases). tRNAs cope with the degeneracy of the genetic code in two manners: having more than one tRNA (with a specific anti-codon) for a particular amino acid; and 'wobble' base-pairing, i.e. permitting non-standard base-pairing at the 3rd anti-codon position.
Source: RNAcentral